UACGAAGGGUGCAACCGUUGCUCGGAAUUAUUGGGCGUAAAGCGCACGUAGGCGGCUCUGUAAGUUGGAUGUGAAAUCCCUCGGCUCAACCAAGGAAGUGCAUCCAAAACUACAGAGCUUGAGUACUUAAGAGGAUCGCGGAAUUCCCGGUGUAGAGGUGAAAUUCGUAGAUAUCGGGAGGAACACCAGUGGCGAAGGCGGCGAUCUGGGAAGAUACUGACGCUGAGGUGCGAAAGCGUGGGGAGCAAACAGG
RNAcentral lists this ribosomal RNA (253 nucleotides) under uncultured bacterium. Its description in RNAcentral is "partial 16S ribosomal RNA". It matches the Rfam family "Bacterial small subunit ribosomal RNA", at positions 524 to 776 of the family's 1533-position model. The record is from RNAcentral.